GACGAACGCUGGCGGCGUGCCUAAUACAUGCCAGUAGAACGCACAGUUUAUACCGUAGCUUGCUACACCAUACACUGUGAGUUGCGAACGGGUGAGUAACGCGUAGGUAACCUGCCUGGUAGCGGGGGAUAACUAUUGGAAACGAUAGCUAAUACCGCAUAAUAUUAAUUAUUGCAUGAUAAUUGAUUGAAAGAUGCAAUUGCAUCACUACCAGAUGGACCUGCGUUGUAUUAGCUAGUAGGUGAGGUAACGGCUCACCUAGGCGACGAUACAUAGCCGAACUGAGAGGGUGAUAGGCAACACUGGGACGGAGACACGGCCCAGACUCCUACGGGAGGCAGCAGUAGGGAAUCUUCGGCAAGGGACGAAAGGCUGACCGAGCAACGCCGCGUGAGUGAAGAAGGGUUUCGGAUCGUAAAGCUCGGUUGUAAGAGAAGAACGGGUGUGAGAGUGGAAAGUUCACACUGUGACGGUAUCUGACCAGAAAGGGACGGCUAACUACGUG
This 505-nucleotide ribosomal RNA is filed under the name uncultured bacterium. Its description in RNAcentral is "partial 16S ribosomal RNA". It matches the Rfam family "Bacterial small subunit ribosomal RNA", at positions 28 to 507 of the family's 1533-position model. The record is from RNAcentral.